This 1288-nucleotide ribosomal RNA is filed under the name Klebsiella pneumoniae BIDMC 2A. RNAcentral's name for it is "bacterial SSU rRNA". It matches the Rfam family "Bacterial small subunit ribosomal RNA", at positions 8 to 1288 of the family's 1533-position model. Lineage: Bacteria; Pseudomonadati; Pseudomonadota; Gammaproteobacteria; Enterobacterales; Enterobacteriaceae. The record is from RNAcentral.
AGAGUUUGAUCAUGGCUCAGAUUGAACGCUGGCGGCAGGCCUAACACAUGCAAGUCGAGCGGUAGCACAGAGAGCUUGCUCUCGGGUGACGAGCGGCGGACGGGUGAGUAAUGUCUGGGAAACUGCCUGAUGGAGGGGGAUAACUACUGGAAACGGUAGCUAAUACCGCAUAACGUCGCAAGACCAAAGUGGGGGACCUUCGGGCCUCAUGCCAUCAGAUGUGCCCAGAUGGGAUUAGCUAGUAGGUGGGGUAACGGCUCACCUAGGCGACGAUCCCUAGCUGGUCUGAGAGGAUGACCAGCCACACUGGAACUGAGACACGGUCCAGACUCCUACGGGAGGCAGCAGUGGGGAAUAUUGCACAAUGGGCGCAAGCCUGAUGCAGCCAUGCCGCGUGUGUGAAGAAGGCCUUCGGGUUGUAAAGCACUUUCAGCGGGGAGGAAGGCGAUAAGGUUAAUAACCUUGUCGAUUGACGUUACCCGCAGAAGAAGCACCGGCUAACUCCGUGCCAGCAGCCGCGGUAAUACGGAGGGUGCAAGCGUUAAUCGGAAUUACUGGGCGUAAAGCGCACGCAGGCGGUCUGUCAAGUCGGAUGUGAAAUCCCCGGGCUCAACCUGGGAACUGCAUUCGAAACUGGCAGGCUAGAGUCUUGUAGAGGGGGGUAGAAUUCCAGGUGUAGCGGUGAAAUGCGUAGAGAUCUGGAGGAAUACCGGUGGCGAAGGCGGCCCCCUGGACAAAGACUGACGCUCAGGUGCGAAAGCGUGGGGAGCAAACAGGAUUAGAUACCCUGGUAGUCCACGCCGUAAACGAUGUCGAUUUGGAGGUUGUGCCCUUGAGGCGUGGCUUCCGGAGCUAACGCGUUAAAUCGACCGCCUGGGGAGUACGGCCGCAAGGUUAAAACUCAAAUGAAUUGACGGGGGCCCGCACAAGCGGUGGAGCAUGUGGUUUAAUUCGAUGCAACGCGAAGAACCUUACCUGGUCUUGACAUCCACAGAACUUUCCAGAGAUGGAUUGGUGCCUUCGGGAACUGUGAGACAGGUGCUGCAUGGCUGUCGUCAGCUCGUGUUGUGAAAUGUUGGGUUAAGUCCCGCAACGAGCGCAACCCUUAUCCUUUGUUGCCAGCGGUCCGGCCGGGAACUCAAAGGAGACUGCCAGUGAUAAACUGGAGGAAGGUGGGGAUGACGUCAAGUCAUCAUGGCCCUUACGACCAGGGCUACACACGUGCUACAAUGGCAUAUACAAAGAGAAGCGACCUCGCGAGAGCAAGCGGACCUCAUAAAGUAUGUCG